RNAcentral lists this ribosomal RNA (319 nucleotides) under uncultured bacterium. RNAcentral's name for it is "bacterial SSU rRNA". It matches the Rfam family "Bacterial small subunit ribosomal RNA", at positions 470 to 789 of the family's 1533-position model. The record is from RNAcentral.
UGACGGUAACUUACCAGAAAGGGACGGCUAACUACGUGCCAGCAGCCGCGGUAAUACGUAGGUCCCGAGCGUUGUCCGGAUUUAUUGGGCGUAAAGCGAGCGCAGGCGGUUUAAUAAGUCUGAAGUUAAAGGCAGUGGCUUAACCAUUGUUCGCUUUGGAAACUGUUAGACUUGAGUGCAGAAGGGGAGAGUGGAAUUCCAUGUGUAGCGGUGAAAUGCGUAGAUAUAUGGAGGAACACCGGUGGCGAAAGCGGCUCUCUGGUCUGUAACUGACGCUGAGGCUCGAAAGCGUGGGGAGCAAACAGGAUUAGAUACCCUG